UUUAGGGAGCUACCAUUUGAUUUUUAUGGGGGGGGGGCUAGGAUGAAAUUUGAAAAAAAUAGGCAGGACAGGAGUUUUGAGUUAAAAAAAAAAAGUCAGGAUGAGACACUUGCAAAAAAAAAGUCAGGACGACAAUUUAGGUAAAAAAAGUCAGGAUAAACUAAAAAAAAAAAAGGCAGGACCGAACAGAGUGAAAAAUAAAAAGGCAGGACAGAGAUUACAGUUUAAAAAAAAUGAAGGACAAAAUUUUUCAUCCUAGCCCCCCC
RNAcentral lists this long non-coding RNA (266 nucleotides) under Mytilus galloprovincialis (Mediterranean mussel). The record is from RNAcentral. Lineage: Eukaryota; Metazoa; Mollusca; Bivalvia; Mytilida; Mytilidae.